Molecule: long non-coding RNA, 2069 nt
Filed under: Zonotrichia albicollis (white-throated sparrow)
Lineage: Eukaryota; Metazoa; Chordata; Aves; Passeriformes; Passerellidae
Description: lncRNA (ENSZALG00000001145.1)
Source: RNAcentral
UGCCACCACCCAGAGCAGCUAUGGACAAUGUCCCUGUCCCCAGGGCCACCACCUGGAGCACCAUGCAUGGACAAUGUCUUUGUCCCUAUCCCCAGGGCCACUGCUAUGAACACCAGGCAUGGCCACUGCCACCAUCCCUGUCCCCAACGCCACCACCCAGAGCAGGUAUGGACAAUGUCCCUAUUCCCAGGGACACUGCUAUGAGCAGCAGGCACAGCCACUGUCACUGUCCCCAGGGCCACCACCUGGAGCACCAGGCAUGGAGAAUGUCCCUGUCACUGUCCCCAGGGCCACCAUCAGGCAGCAGGCACGGACAAUGUCCUUGUCCCACCAUCCAGAGCACCAGGCAUGACCACUGCCUGCUGGUCAUGCCAUACCAUCCCUGUCCCCAGCGCCACCACCCAGAGCAGGCAUGGACAAUGUCCCUGUCACUGUCCCCAGGGCCACCGCUAGGCAGCAGGCAUGGCCACUGCCACCAUCCCUGUCCCCAAUGUCACUGCCAUGAGGACCCAGCACAGCCACCGCCACCCCUGUCACCAUUGUCCCCUCACUGCUCUGGACACAGCCCGUUUGGGCUCCACCACCCUGCCAUUGUCCCCUCAGUGUCCCCUCAGUGUCCCCAAUGUCCCUCACCUCUCUGGACACGGCCCGCUUGGGCUCCACCACCCUGCCAUGUCCCCUCAGUGUCCCCAAUGUCCCCAGUGUCCUCUCAGUGUCCCCAGUGUCCCUCACCUCUCUGGACACGGCCCGUUUGGGCUCCACCACCCCACCAUUGUCCCCUCAGUGUCCCCAUUGUCCCCUCAGUGUCCCCAGUGUCCCCUCAGUGUCCCCAUUGUCCCUCACCUCUCUGGACACGGCCCGCUUGGGCUCCACCACCCCGCCAUUGUCCCCUCAGUGUCCCCUCAGUGUCCCCAAUGUCCCUCACCUCUCUGGACACGGCCCGUUUGGGCUCCACCACCCCGCCAUUGUCCCCAUUGUCCCCAAUGUCCCCAGUGUCCCCUCAGUGUCCCCAAUGUCCCCAAUGUCCCUCACCUCUCUGGACACGGCCCGUUUGGGCUCCACCACCCUGCCGUCCACCUUGUGUGGCCGCGCGUUCAUGGCAGCAUCGACCUCCUCCACUGAUGAGUAGGUGACGAAGCCGAAGCCCCGCGAGCGCUUCGUGUUGGGGUCCCGCAUCACCUGGGGACAGCGGGGACACAUCAGGGACAGACACAGGGACACCUCAGGGACACCUCAGGGACACCUCAGGGACACAGGGACAGGGGGACGGACACAGGGACAUGGGGACAGACACAGGGACACAGAGACAGACACAAGAACACCGUGAACCCGAAGCCCCGCGAGCGCUUUGUGUUGGGGUCCCGCAUCACCUGGGGACAGGGACACAUCAGGGACACAGCAGGGACACCAGGACAGACACAGGAACACAUCUGGGACAUGGGAACAGACACACGGACAGACACAGGGACAUGGGGUACACAGGGACAUGGGGACAGACACAGGGACACCUCAGGGACACAGGGACACAGAGACAGACAGACACAGGGACACAUCAGGGACAUGUCAGGGACACAGGGACACAGAGACGGACACACAUACACAGGGACAGACACAGGGACACAAAGGACACGAUCCUGGGGACCCCCAACCCCAUUUUCAGUGAUCCCAGUCCUGCUCUCAGGGAUCCCAAGCCCAUUUCAGGGGUGUCAGGGCUGGUUUCAGGGAUCUCAGGAUCCUAAGCCUGUUUUUGGGGAUCCCAAGCCCAUUUUCAGUGAUCCCAGCCCCUUUUCAGGGGUUCCAGCCCCAUUUUUUGGGGUCCCAGCCCCAUUUUGGGGGGUCCCUCACCACGCAGUCGGUCAGCGUGCCCCACUGCUCGAAGUGGAUCCCAAGCCCAUUUUUGGGUACCCCAGCCCCAUUUCACACAUCCCAGCCCCAUUUCUGGGUACCCCAGCCCCAUUUCUGGGUACCCCAGCCCAUUUUUGGGGGUGCCCUCACCACACAGUCGGUCAGCGUGCCCCACUGCUCGAAGGGGAUCCAAGCCCCUUUUCAGUGACCCCAGCCCCAUUUUC